This 497-nucleotide ribosomal RNA is filed under the name uncultured bacterium. RNAcentral describes it as "partial 16S ribosomal RNA". It matches the Rfam family "Bacterial small subunit ribosomal RNA", at positions 28 to 507 of the family's 1533-position model. The record is from RNAcentral.
GAUGAACGCUGGCGGCGUGCCUAAUACAUGCAAGUCGAGCGAACAGACGAGGAGCUUGCUCCUCUGACGUUAGCGGCGGACGGGUGAGUAACACGUGGAUAACCUACCUAUAAUACUGGGAUAACUUCGGGAAACCGGAGCUACUACCGGCUAAUAUAUUGAACCGCAUGGUGCAAUAGUGAAAGACGGUUUUGCUGUCACAUAUAGAUGGAUCCGCGCCGCAUUAGCUAGUUGGUAAGGUAACGGCUUACCAAGGCAACGAUGCGUAGCCGACCUGAGAGGGUGAUCGGCCACACUGGAACUGAGACACGGUCCAGACUCCUACGGGAGGCAGCAGUAGGGAAUCUUCCGCAAUGGGCGAAAGCUUGACGGAGCAACGCCGCGUGAGUGAUGAAGGUCUUCGGAUCGUAAAACUCUGUUAUUAGGGAAGAAAAAAUGUGUAAUUAACUAUGCACGUCUUGACGGUACCUAAACAGAAAGCCACGGCUAACUACGUG